UACGUAGGUGGCAAGCGUUGUUCGGAAUUACUGGGCGUAAAGCGCGUGUAGGCGGCUCUUCAAGUCAGACGUGAAAGCCCCGGGCUUAACUCGGGAACUGCGUUUGAUACUGUCGAGCUAGAGUGUGGAAGGGGCGAUUGGAAUUCCGUGUGUAGCGGUGAAAUGCGUAGAUAUACGGAGGAACACCAGAGGCGAAGGCGGAUCGCUGGGCCAACACUGACGCUGAGACGCGAAAGCCAGGGGAGCAAACGGG
Molecule: ribosomal RNA, 253 nt
Filed under: uncultured bacterium
Lineage: Bacteria
Description: partial 16S ribosomal RNA
Rfam family: Bacterial small subunit ribosomal RNA
Source: RNAcentral